Long non-coding RNA from Triticum dicoccoides, 848 nucleotides. RefSeq lists it as uncharacterized. Lineage: Eukaryota; Viridiplantae; Streptophyta; Magnoliopsida; Poales; Poaceae. The transcript is spliced from 4 exons. The record is from RefSeq and is a predicted model, not a curated record.
GAUCUAGAUAAGGUGUACCACGCACGCAGCCAAAUCCCUAAUUCCCCUUCUCCUUCUCCUUCGAUUCCCCACACCCGCCGCCGCCGGGCUCUCCACCGCGCCUCCGCGCUCCACCACGGCGUUGGCCUCUCCCUCGCGCCCCCGCGUCUCUACUUCACGCUGUCGACCUCUCCACCGCGCCGGCCACCUCUCCACCUACUCCAGAGGAGCGUUGCCCUGCGGAAUGGCGUGACGGCCGUGGCGGCGCACGUCCCGGAGGUGCUGCUGCUCGUGGUGUCCAAUCCCGUCGACGACCUCACCUACCUGGCCUGAAAGCUUUCAAGCUUCCCGGCGAGCAGCGUCGGCGGCUCCGGCACCAACCUCCACUCCUCCAGGUUCCGGUUCCUUAUCAACCAGCUCCACGUCAACACCCAGAACGUGUAGGCUAUUUAACUUGUUUCUUGAUUAAGGUGUUGAUGGGCUGUAACUAUUUGCCACUCUGAAGAUAUAAAGUGUUAUUUCUUCAGGUAUCGUAUCACUGAGGCGCCCUCCCACGCACCUGCAAGCAUGAAUGAAGGACGUGUUUUGAGGUCUAGUGUAACACAAGAUCAUGAUCAUGUAGAUCACGCGCAUCAGCCUUCCAAAGAAGCAAACAUAAGGACUGGACUCACAAUGAACCAUGAAGCCGGCGAUCCGCGUCAACUGGAUGCUUUAGCUUUCAUUUUGUACAACCGAUGUCUCAUAUUUGCGUCUUUUUGCUGUCAUUUUGUAAACCUGAUGUAUGGUGUCUUGUCUUGGUGCUUAGAACAGUCUGAAGUGUAUGUAUGUGACAAUUAGUUAAUGGAAUAAAAAUGGUUUGGUGCACCUGA